This 638-nucleotide ribosomal RNA is filed under the name uncultured Actinomycetes bacterium. Its description in RNAcentral is "bacterial SSU rRNA". It matches the Rfam family "Bacterial small subunit ribosomal RNA", at positions 232 to 885 of the family's 1533-position model. Lineage: Bacteria; Bacillati; Actinomycetota; Actinomycetes. The record is from RNAcentral.
CGCGGCCUAUCAGCUUGUUGGUGAGGUAACGGCUCACCAAGGCAUCGACGGGUAGCUGGUCUGAGAGGACGAUCAGCCACACUGGGACUGAGACACGGCCCAGACUCCUACGGGAGGCAGCAGUAGGGAAUCUUGCGCAAUGGGGGCAACCCUGACGCAGCAACGCCGCGUGUGGGAUGACGGCCUUCGGGUUGUAAACCACUUUCAGUGAUGACGAAAAUGACGGUAAUCACAGAAGAAGGUCCGGCCAACUACGUGCCAGCAGCCGCGGUAACACGUAGGGACCGAGCGUUGUCCGGAUUUAUUGGGCGUAAAGAGCUCGUAGGCGGUUCUGUAAGUCGGAUGUGAAAACUCAGGGCUCAACCCUGAGACGCCAUCUGAUACUGCAGUGACUAGAGUCCGGUAGAGGAAGAUGGAAUUCCUGGUGUAGCGGUGGAAUGCGCAGAUAUCAGGAGGAACACCAACGGCGAAGGCAGUCUUCUGGGCCGGUACUGACGCUGAGGAGCGAAAGCAUGGGGAGCAAACAGGAUUAGAUACCCUGGUAGUCCAUGCCGUAAACGUUGGGCACUAGGUGUGGGGUCUUCUAACGGAUUCCGUGCCGUAGCUAACGCAUUAAGUGCCCCGCCUGGGGAGUACGG